GCUUAACACAUGCAAGUCGAGGGGCACCAUCAUUUUUGCUUGCUUUGAUGGAUGGCGACCGGCGCGCGGGUGAGUAACACGUAUCCCACCUGCCGACCACGCUGGGAUACCCUUUCAAAAGAAAGAUUAAUACCGGAUGGCAUAGUCUUCCCGCAUGGGAUGACUAUUAAAGAAUUUCGGUUGCCGAUGGGGAUGCAUUCCCUUACGCCGGUGGCGGGGUAACGGCCCACCACACCAACGAUGGAUAAGGAUUCUGAGACGAACGUCCCCCACAUUGGAACUGAUACACGACUCCAAACUCCUACGGGAGGCAACAGUGAGGAAUAUUGGUCAAUGAACGACAGUCUGAACCAGCCAAGAUAGCGUGAAGGAUGACUGCCCUAUGGGUUGUAAACUUCUUUUAUACCGGAAUAAAGUGAGCCACGUGUGGCUUUUUGUAUGUACCGCAUGAAUAAAGAUCGGCUAACUCCGCGCCAGCAUCCGCGGUAAUACAGAGGAUCCCAGCGUUAUCCGGAUUUAUUGGAUUUAAAGGGAGCGUACAUGGAUGAUUAAGUCACCUGUGAAACUUUGCGGCUCAUCCUUAAAAUUGCAUUUGAUACUGGAUAUCUAGAGUGCAGUUGAUGCACGCGGAAUUCGUGAUGUACCGAUGAAAUGCUAAGAUAUCACGAAGAACUCCCAUUGCAAAGGCACGACUGCUAAGCUGCAACUGACAUUGAGGCUCGAAAGUGUGGGUAUCAAACAGGAGUAGAUACCGUGGUAGUUCACACGGUAAACGAUGAAUGCUCGGUUUUUGCGAUAUAUUGCAAGCGGCCAAGACGAAAGCGUUAAGUAUUUCACUUGGGGAGUACGCCGGUAACGGUGAAAGUCAAAGGAAUUGACGGGGGCCCGCACAAGCGGAGGAACAUGUGGUUUAAUUAGAUGAUACGCGAGGUACCUUCACCGGUCUUAAAUUGCAGAUGAAUUACGGUGAAAUCCGUAAGGCGCAAGGCAUCUGUGAAGGUGCUUCAUGGUUGUCGUCAGCUCGUGCCGUGAGGAGUUGGCUUAAGUACCAUAACGAGCGCAACCCUUGUUGUCAGUUUCUAACAGGUUCUGCUGAGGGCUCUGACAAGACAGCCAUCGUAAGAUGUGAGGAAGGUGGGGAUGACGUCAAAUCAGCACGGUCCCUUACGUCCGGGGCUACACACGUGUUACAAUGGGGGGUACAGAGGGCCGGUGCCACGCGAGUGGAUGCCAAUCCCCAAACCCUCUCUCAGUUCGGACUGGAGUCUGCAACCCGAAUCCAGGAAGCUGGAUUCGCUAGUAAUCGAGCAUCAGCCACGGCGCGGUGAAUACGUUCCCGGGCCUUGUACACCCCGCCCGUCAAGCCAUGGGAGCCGGGGGUCCCUGAAGUGCGUACCCGCGAGGAGCGCCCUAGGGUAAAACUGGUGACUGGGGCUA
Molecule: ribosomal RNA, 1437 nt
Filed under: uncultured organism
Description: 16S ribosomal RNA
Rfam family: Bacterial small subunit ribosomal RNA
Source: RNAcentral